UCUUAGAUAGUUUAACGAUAGAACUUUGAGCUGACAACUCAAACAAUGUGGGUUCAAAUCCUACCUUAAAAG
Non-coding RNA from Sphaeroforma arctica JP610, 72 nucleotides. NCBI's taxonomy places the organism in Eukaryota, Ichthyosporea, Ichthyophonida. The record is from Rfam.